UAACUGGUCCUGACAAGUACAUUUGUCUUU
This 30-nucleotide non-coding RNA is filed under the name Rattus norvegicus (Norway rat). Lineage: Eukaryota; Metazoa; Chordata; Mammalia; Rodentia; Muridae. The record is from RNAcentral.